Molecule: unclassified non-coding RNA, 148 nt
Organism: Pongo abelii (Sumatran orangutan)
Lineage: Eukaryota; Metazoa; Chordata; Mammalia; Primates; Hominidae
Rfam family: Metazoan signal recognition particle RNA
About the family: The signal recognition particle (SRP) is a universally conserved ribonucleoprotein. It is involved in the co-translational targeting of proteins to membranes. The eukaryotic SRP consists of a 300-nucleotide 7S RNA and six proteins: SRPs 72, 68, 54, 19, 14, and 9.
Source: Ensembl
GCUGGGCCUGGUGAUGCAUGCCUGUAGUCCCAGCUAUUUGGGAGGCUGAGGCGGGAGGAUUGCUCGAGCCCAGGAGGUCAAGGCUGCAGUGAGCUGUGAUCACACCACUGCACUCCAGCCUAGGCAACAGAGCAAAACCCCGUCUCAA